This 406-nucleotide ribosomal RNA is filed under the name uncultured bacterium. RNAcentral's name for it is "partial 16S ribosomal RNA". It matches the Rfam family "Bacterial small subunit ribosomal RNA", at positions 29 to 526 of the family's 1533-position model. The record is from RNAcentral.
AUUGAACGCUGGCGGCAGGCCUAACACAUGCAAGUCGAACGAGUGGCGGACGGGUGAGUAAUGUCUGGGAAACUGCCCGAUGGAGGGGGAUAACUACUGGAAACGGUAGCUAAUACCGCAUACCAUCGGAUGUGCCCAGAUGGGAUUAGCUAGUAGGUGGGGUAACGGCUCACCUAGGCGACGGUCCCUAGCUGGUCUGAGAGGAUGACCCGCCAACCUGGAACGGAGAAACGGGCCAGACCCCGACGGGGGGCAGGAGUGGGGAAAAUUGCACAAUGGGCGCAAACUGGAUGCAGCCAUGCCUGGUGUAUGAAGAAGGCCUUCGGGUUGGAAAGUACUUUCAGCGAGAAGGCGUGACGCGCAGAAGAAGCCCCGGCUAACUCCGGGCCAGCAGCCGGGGUAAUUC